CCUUCCUCCACAUCCUUCUGACCCCAAGGCUGAGGUCGUUCCCGUCUAUCUCCCCUGUGUGUGCGCGUACAUCGUCGGCAAGCGUGAGGAGGGGUUGCCGCAGUUGCUUCUUCGCCUUCUCCCAUCUCACGUCCCCAUCGCCGGACGCCUCGCCACGUCUCUCACCUUGCCCCUCUCCAUGGUAAACUUCAGUCCUCCCCUCUCCCCUGCUCUUUUAAUUUCUUUUAUCCUUAAUGUUCUUCCUUUGAUAAAUCUAAGCCGUGAAUUUGCACAAAUCUGGCUAAAUUUCGUGCUCUUAUCUCUUCCAUCUCGGUGGUUUCUUCUGUAGGUGCAUCGCGGAACUAUUUCUGGAGGCCGUCGCCACCGCAUUAGUUGCCGGAUGGUCUUCCCCUGCUCCAUUGUAAGUAAAAAAAACAUGCUUUUUCUGUGGGGCUAUAUAGGUACCUCUGGCCGGAGCUGAUAUUGGGUGUUCUGUUUACCUCAGAGACGAGUUCCCAAGAAAUGCUCUUUGUUUAUUGCCUUUUUGCAUUCUUUUGCCGUGUAUGGAUUUAUUCAUUUUACAUGUUGCAAGAAAUGGCUUUGUUCUCUAUGCUAGCUCAAAGUUUAGAUGCUGCUGCUAGGUGUGCUAUUAGCAACCACAUUGGUUAAGUCACUGAAAACUGAAAAGAUUAAUGUCACUGUAAUUUUCAUCCUUGCUAGGUGCUUUAGGAUAUGCAGUGUAUGCAUGUGAAGACGUGAAGAUGUUGACUCUUUUUCCUUGCUAGCUGCUUCAGGAUAUGCAGUGUAUGUAUGUGAAGAUGUACUCUUCUUUUUAGAUCACUGAUGCUACUUGCGCCGUACUAUUCGAUGCCCAAUUCAGAGUUACGUAACAGGCUGACUGCUUUCUCUUAGAGAGAGAAAAAAUGCUAUCAUUGGCUGCGGCGAUCACCACGCACAACGGCGGCUGGCGUUCCUUUUUCUCUUGCCCCGCUCUUCGCUGGAUCCAACUCUCAAAGCAACAUGCUAAUUAAUGGCUAUUGCCGUUGGUCAUGAUUUUUUCUGCUGAUUUUUUCAUCUUCCUAUGGAUUUGUUUCUUCCUAUAAAUACUUCCCAUCCCAGUGCCAGUGCUGGUAGAUGCAGAUUUACAUCAAUUUGCAAUUAGCCAAAGCAAAAUCUAGGCUGAUGGUUCAAGGUCUCAAAAAAUUCAUGUAACUUUCAAAUCCUUUCCUCUUUGGCCCUUGUACUGUGGUCUAUUCUUGGUUUUCCAGUGAAUCACUCUUCUUUUUUUACAUGUACGAUGUGUGCUUGUGCAGGCGCUGCUUUUAGGAGACAAUGAUUCCGGAACAGAUGAGUGAGGAUCAUAACUGGAUGGUUUCAUAGUUGGAUUUCUACCUGUCCAACAGAUUCAUGUCAUCUGGCUAUUUUUCUGUAAGUAUAUUUCCUAAUAAGCAUCUCUGAAUUGUCAAGUUGUGAAGAAAAAAAGGAUAUCACGUUGCUCGAGGCAUGAAACCUAGUGCCAGAUUAUAAAGUUUCAUAUAUACUUUUCUGGUUUUAUUCAUAUAUCAUAUGGUGUGUCCACAAAUGGCACUACUGCAUGAGAUGCAUUAAUUCUGAACAUGCAAGUCUAGGACAGUGCUGCUCCAGUGACAAUAUAUGUGUCACAAUGAGCUGAGUUUCCAACAUAUCUAGUCAGCAGUUGGAUGAGUACUAUUUUCUCCUUAGUGGCUGCUGCCAGGUAGUGUGUUUCUUAUGUGGCUUUGUGCUGGCUGGCUAUAAUUAUGUAGGUGAUGCUGCUGAUCAUGAACCUAGGUAACACAGAAAUUGUGUAUUUAGUCGCCAUUUCUCUGUGCAAUGUGAUGGAUGAGAAUAAGAGUGGUGCCAUGUAUAUGUAGAACUAUUGUUGCUUUUGAGGAAAAGCCCAAGAAGCAAAUUAGGCUAUGACUCAAAUAAUCAUCACCAACUUUGUCACGCAAAGCAUUCUUCACAAUAGUCAUAGCUGGAAAACAUGUCUCAACAUUGGCAGUGGCAACUUGGAGAGUCAGUGCUAGCUUGAAAAGCCGAUAUACCAAAGGGUAGGAGAGAUGCUUCCUUGUAUCCACCAUCAGUUUAGCAAUCACCUAUUUUGUCCAAGCUAGAAAACCUUCUAUCAUGGGUUACAUUAUUUAUGUAGAUACUAAGUUCAUGUUCAAGAGUAACAUAUCUCUGUGACUAAAAUCAUCAGGAUAAAGCUUAGCUAAUUCCAGCAACUUCUUGUCAAAAAAACAAAAUAAAUCACCUUUGCUCAAAGCAGACCCAUUGGUGGCGGCAGCCCCUGGGUUGUGGUGUUGCCAUCUCUUUAUUUCCUUGUCAAAUAUUGCUUCUUCAUUAAUUUUGUACAUAAUUUUGUAGGGGAAGAUGAUUCGUCUAUGUUAUCUUCAAGGACGACGCUAUGGAUGAUCACAUCGGCAAUGGCAUCACUCGAGUUUGCAACAUGACUGAGAACAUGAUGAUAACAACUAUGCAUCCGGAGGAGGAUCUCACUAGUCCGUUUGCACUUCAACUAAUGAGCGACAAUCGUAUGGUAUUUUGUUGCAGCAACUGUUAUAUGGAAUAUGAUGGAUGAGAAAUAGUAAAAUGAUGCGUAUGUAUGUGAUGCUGCUGAUCAUGAAUCUAGGUGACUUAGAAGUGUGUGUGUGUGUGUUUUGUUUCAUUGCCCUGUGCAAUGCGAUGGAUCAGAAUCAGAGUGGUUUCAUGUAUGCGUAGAAAUGUUUUUGCUUUUGAGCAAGUCCAUGUACAAAUUCUCGUAUGUCAAUUGCUGGAUGUUGAAACAUAGUUUAAUAUAUCGGUAUGUAUGCAAACACUGAUUUUGGACGGCUUUCCUAAUAUAUGGGCUAUUGGAUGUAUGCUUAUUUAUCACUGAAUAUUUAUUGACAGGUUAUAG
Molecule: long non-coding RNA, 2899 nt
Filed under: Triticum aestivum (bread wheat)
Lineage: Eukaryota; Viridiplantae; Streptophyta; Magnoliopsida; Poales; Poaceae
Description: long non-coding RNA (TAES_LNC008187)
Source: RNAcentral